UUUAUGGAGAGUUUGAUCCUGGCUCAGAGUGAACGCUGGCGGCGUGCCUAAUACAUGCAAGUCGAACGAUGAAGCUUCUAGCUUGCUAGAAUGCUGAUUAGUGGCGCACGGGUGAGUAACGCAUAGGUCAUGUGCCUCUUAGUUUGGGAUAGCCAUUGGAAACGAUGAUUAAUACCAGAUACUCCCUACGGGGGAAAGAUUUAUCGCUAAGAGAUCAGCCUAUGUCCUAUCAGCUUGUUGGUAAGGUAAUGGCUUACCAAGGCUAUGACGGGUAUCCGGCCUGAGAGGGUGAACGGACACACUGGAACUGAGACACGGUCCAGACUCCUACGGGAGGCAGCAGUAGGGAAUAUUGCUCAAUGGGGGAAACCCUGAAGCAGCAACGCCGCGUGGAGGAUGAAGGUUUUAGGAUUGUAAACUCCUUUUGUUAGAGAAGAUAAUGACGGUAUCUAACGAAUAAGCACCGGCUAACUCCGUGCCAGCAGCCGCGGUAAUACGGAGGGUGCAAGCGUUACUCGGAAUCACUGGGCGUAAAGAGCGCGUAGGCGGGAUAGUCAGUCAGGUGUGAAAUCCUAUGGCUUAACCAUAGAACUGCAUUUGAAACUACUAUUCUAGAGUGUGGGAGAGGUAGGUGGAAUUCUUGGUGUAGGGGUAAAAUCCGUAGAGAUCAAGAGGAAUACUCAUUGCGAAGGCGACCUGCUAGAACAUUACUGACGCUGAUUGCGCGAAAGCGUGGGGAGCAAACAGGAUUAGAUACCCUGGUAGUCCACGCCCUAAACGAUGGAUGCUAGUUGUUGGAGGGCUUAGUCUCUCCAGUAAUGCAGCUAACGCAUUAAGCAUCCCGCCUGGGGAGUACGGUCGCAAGAUUAAAACUCAAAGGAAUAGACGGGGACCCGCACAAGCGGUGGAGCAUGUGGUUUAAUUCGAGGAUACACGAAGAACCUUACCUAGGCUUGACAUUGAGAGAAUCCGCUAGAAAUAGUGGAGUGUCUGGCUUGCCAGACCUUGAAAACAGGUGCUGCACGGCUGUCGUCAGCUCGUGUCGUGAGAUGUUGGGUUAAGUCCCGCAACGAGCGCAACCCCCUUUCUUAGUUGCUAACAGGUCAUGCUGAGAACUCUAAGGAUACUGCCUCCGUAAGGAGGAGGAAGGUGGGGACGACGUCAAGUCAUCAUGGCCCUUACGCCUAGGGCUACACACGUGCUACAAUGGGGUGCACAAAGAGAAGCAAUACUGCGAAGUGGAGCCAAUCUUCAAAACGCCUCUCAGUUCGGAUUGCAGGCUGCAACUCGCCUGCAUGAAGCUGGAAUCGCUAGUAAUCGCAAAUCAGCCAUGUUGCGGUGAAUACGUUCCCGGGUCUUGUACUCACCGCCCGUCACACCAUGGGAGUUGUGUUUGCCUUAAGUCAGGAUGCUAAAUUAGCUACUGCCCACGGCACACACAGCGACUGGGGUGAAGUCGUAACAAGGUAACCGUAGGUGAACCUGCGGUUGGAUCACCUCCUUUCUAGA
RNAcentral lists this ribosomal RNA (1509 nucleotides) under Helicobacter pylori. RNAcentral describes it as "bacterial SSU rRNA". It matches the Rfam family "Bacterial small subunit ribosomal RNA". Lineage: Bacteria; Pseudomonadati; Campylobacterota; Epsilonproteobacteria; Campylobacterales; Helicobacteraceae. The record is from RNAcentral.